GAUGAACGCUGGCGGCGUGCCUAAUACAUGCAAGUCGAGCGAACGGACGAGAAGCUUGCUUCUCUGAUGUUAGCGGCGGACGGGUGAGUAACACGUGGAUAACCUACCUAUAAGACUGGGAUAACUUCGGGAAACCGGAGCUAAUACCGGAUAAUAUUUUGAACCGCAUGGUUCAAAAGUGAAAGACGGUCUUGCUGUCACUUAUAGAUGGAUCCGCGCUGCAUUAGCUAGUUGGUAAGGUAACGGCUUACCAAGGCAACGAUGCAUAGCCGACCUGAGAGGGUGAUCGGCCACACUGGAACUGAGACACGGUCCAGACUCCUACGGGAGGCAGCAGUAGGGAAUCUUCCGCAAUGGGCGAAAGCCUGACGGAGCAACGCCGCGUGAGUGAUGAAGGUCUUCGGAUCGUAAAACUCUGUUAUUAGGGAAGAACAUAUGUGUAAGUAACUGUGCACAUCUUGACGGUACCUAAUCAGAAAGCCACGGCUAACUACGUGCCAGCAGCCGCGGUAAUACGUAGGUGGCAAGCGUUAUCCGGAAUUAUUGGGCGUAAAGCGCGCGUAGGCGGUUUUUUAAGUCUGAUGUGAAAGCCCACGGCUCAACCGUGGAGGGUCAUUGGAAACUGGAAAACUUGAGUGCAGAAGAGGAAAGUGGAAUUCCAUGUGUAGCGGUGAAAUGCGCAGAGAUAUGGAGGAACACCAGUGGCGAAGGCGACUUUCUGGUCUGUAACUGACGCUGAUGUGCGAAAGCGUGGGGAUCAAACAGGAUUAGAUACCCUGGUAGUCCACGCCGUAAACGAUGAGUGCUAAGUGUUAGGGGGUUUCCGCCCCUUAGUGCUGCAGCUAACGCAUUAAGCACUCCGCCUGGGGAGUACGACCGCAAGGUUGAAACUCAAAGGAAUUGACGGGGACCCGCACAAGCGGUGGAGCAUGUGGUUUAAUUCGAAGCAACGCGAAGAACCUUACCAAAUCUUGACAUCCUUUGACAACUCUAGAGAUAGAGCCUUCCCCUUCGGGGGACAAAGUGACAGGUGGUGCAUGGUUGUCGUCAGCUCGUGUCGUGAGAUGUUGGGUUAAGUCCCGCAACGAGCGCAACCCUUAAGCUUAGUUGCCAUCAUUAAGUUGGGCACUCUAAGUUGACUGCCGGUGACAAACCGGAGGAAGGUGGGGAUGACGUCAAAUCAUCAUGCCCCUUAUGAUUUGGGCUACACACGUGCUACAAUGGACAAUACAAAGGGCAGCGAAACCGCGAGGGUCAGCAAAUCCCCAUAAGUUGUUCUCAGUUUCGAUUGUAGUCUGCAACUCGACUACAUGAAGCUGGAAUCGCUAGUAAUCGUAGAUCAGCAUGCUACGGUGGAUACGUUUCCCGGGUCU
This 1373-nucleotide ribosomal RNA is filed under the name uncultured bacterium. Its description in RNAcentral is "bacterial SSU rRNA". It matches the Rfam family "Bacterial small subunit ribosomal RNA", at positions 28 to 1381 of the family's 1533-position model. The record is from RNAcentral.